ACAAGACACAUCAUUUGUGGAGCCUUCUGAAUAUGAAAGAGAAUAAAUUGUUGGCACGUUUUCAUACCAUCCAACUGCUACGAUAGAUUUUAAGUCAAACUUUCAAAAUAGGAAGCAGAGUAAAUAAUAUCUGCCUGUCAGGAAAGAGGACCACUGUUCCUUAAUUCUAUUUGGGUUUGGACCUUUUAUACUGGAUAGUCACUGCAAAUUUGGAAUGUGAAGCUGGCUCUCUGUCUUGCCUUUAAAACAAACAAAAAAUCAAAACCCAAGAACAACAGAAACACAACGCACACAUCGUAAAUUCUACGAUGUCUUGAAAUAGGGGCAAGAGAGACAUAAAUGAAUGCAGAGGUUUGCUGUGAAAU
Long non-coding RNA from Nothoprocta perdicaria, 365 nucleotides. RefSeq lists it as uncharacterized. The transcript has 3 exons. The record is from RefSeq and is a predicted model, not a curated record. Lineage: Eukaryota; Metazoa; Chordata; Aves; Tinamiformes; Tinamidae.